CGGGUGAGUAAUGCCUAGGAAUCUGCCUGGUAUGGGGGACAACGUUUCGAAAGGAACGCUAAUACCGCAUACGUCCUACGGGAGAAAGCAGAGGACCUUCGGGCCUUGCGCUAUCAGAUGAGCCUAGGUCGGAUUAGCUAGUUGGUGAGGUAAUGGCUCACCAAGGCGACGAUCCGUAACUGGUCUGAGAGGAUGAUCAGUCACACUGGAACUGAGACACGGUCCAGACUCCUACGGGAGGCAGCAGC
This 248-nucleotide ribosomal RNA is filed under the name uncultured Pseudomonas sp. Its description in RNAcentral is "partial 16S ribosomal RNA". It matches the Rfam family "Bacterial small subunit ribosomal RNA", at positions 103 to 355 of the family's 1533-position model. Lineage: Bacteria; Pseudomonadati; Pseudomonadota; Gammaproteobacteria; Pseudomonadales; Pseudomonadaceae. The record is from RNAcentral.